CAAUAGCGUAUAUUUAAGUUGUUGCAGUUAAAAAGCUCGUAGUUGGAUUUCGGAUGGGAUUUGCCGGUCCGUCGUUACGAUGUGCACUGGCCAGUCCUAUCUUGUUGUCGGGGACUAGCUCCUUGGAUUCACUUCCUGGGACUAGGAGCUGACGAGGUUACUUUGAGUAAAUUAGAGUGGUCAAAGCAAGCCUACGCUCUGAAUACAUUAGCAUGGAAUAACACGAUAGGACUCUGGCUUAUCUUGUUGGUCUGUGAGACCAGAGUAAUGAUUAAGAGGGACAGUCGGGGACAUUCGUAUUUCAUUGUCAGAGGUGAAAUUCUUGGAUUUAUGAAAGACGAACUUCUGCGAAAGCAUUUGUCAAGGAUGUUUUCAUUAA
This 379-nucleotide ribosomal RNA is filed under the name uncultured eukaryote. RNAcentral describes it as "partial 18S ribosomal RNA". It matches the Rfam family "Eukaryotic small subunit ribosomal RNA", at positions 592 to 976 of the family's 1831-position model. The record is from RNAcentral.